UACGUAGGGUGCGAUCGUUAAUCAGAAUUACUGGGCGUAAAGCGUGCGCAGGCGGCUUUGCAAGACAGAUGUGAAAUCCCCGGGCUCAACCUGGGAACUGCAUUUGUGACUGCAAGGCUAGAGUACGGCAGAGGGGGAUGGAAUUCCGCGUGUAGCAGUGAAAUGCGUAGAUAUGCGGAGGAACACCAAUGGCGAAGGCAAUCCCCUGGGCCUGUACUGACGCUCAUGCACGAAAGCGUGGGGAGCAAACAGG
RNAcentral lists this ribosomal RNA (253 nucleotides) under uncultured bacterium. RNAcentral describes it as "partial 16S ribosomal RNA". It matches the Rfam family "Bacterial small subunit ribosomal RNA", at positions 524 to 776 of the family's 1533-position model. The record is from RNAcentral.